AGAGUUUGAUCAUGGCUCAGAACGAACGCUGGCGGCGUGGAUAAGACAUGCAAGUCGAGCGGGAUACAAGUUGCAGCAAUGUAGCUUGUGUUCAGCGGCGCAAGGGUGCGUAACACGUGGGCAAUUUGCCAUGAAGUUUGGGAUAAUCCCGCGAAAGCGGGACUAAUACCGGAUGUGAUCUUUGGGAGGCAUCUCCUGGAGCUUAAAGUUGGGGACCGCAAGGCCUGACGCUUCAUGAUAAGCCCGCGGCCUAUCAGCUAGUUGGUGAGGUAACGGCUCACCAAGGCUGAGACGGGUAGCUGGUCUGAGAGGACGACCAGCCACACUGGAACUGAGACACGGUCCAGACACCUACGGGUGGCAGCAGUCGAGAAUUUUUCACAAUGGGCGAAAGCCUGAUGGAGCGACGCCGCGUGGGGGAUGAAUGGCUUCGGCCCGUAAACCCCUGUCAUUUGCGAACAAACCUUGUUCAUGAACAAUGAACGAGCUGAUUGUAGCGGAAGAGGAAGGGACGGCUAACUCUGUGCCAGCAGCCGCGGUAAUACAGAGGUCCCAAGCGUUGUUCGGAUUCACUGGGCGUAAAGGGUGCGUAGGUGGUGAGGAAAGUCGGAUGUGAAAUCUCCGGGCUCAACCCGGAAAUGGCAUUGGAAACUACCUUGCUUGAGGUUUUGAGGGGGGACUGGAAUUCUCGGUGUAGCAGUGAAAUGCGUAGAUAUCGAGAGGAACACCAGUGGCGAAGGCGAGUCCCUGGAAAACACCUGACACUGAGGCACGAAAGCUAGGGGAGCAAACAGGAUUAGAUACCCUAGUAGUCC
This 815-nucleotide ribosomal RNA is filed under the name uncultured bacterium. RNAcentral's name for it is "bacterial SSU rRNA". It matches the Rfam family "Bacterial small subunit ribosomal RNA", at positions 8 to 796 of the family's 1533-position model. The record is from RNAcentral.